GGGUUGUGAGGUUAAGCGACUAAGCGUACACGGUGGAUGCCCUGGCAGUCAGAGGCGAUGAAGGACGUGCUAAUCUGCGAUAAGCGUCGGUAAGGUGAUAUGAACCGUUAUAACCGGCGAUUUCCGAAUGGGGAAACCCAGUGUGAUUCGUCACACUAUCAUUAACUGAAUCCAUAGGUUAAUGAGGCGAACCGGGGGAACUGAAACAUCUAAGUACCCCGAGGAAAAGAAAUCAACCGAGAUUCCCCCAGUAGCGGCGAGCGAACGGGGAGCAGCCCAGAGCCUGAAUCAGUGUGUGUGUUAGUGGAAGCGUCUGGAAAGGCGUGCGAUACAGGGUGACAGCCCCGUACACAAAAAUGCACAUACUGUGAGCUCGAUGAGUAGGGCGGGACACGUGGUAUCCUGUCUGAAUAUGGGGGGACCAUCCUCCAAGGCUAAAUACUCCUGACUGACCGAUAGUGAACCAGUACCGUGAGGGAAAGGCGAAAAGAACCCCGGCGAGGGGAGUGAAAAAGAACCUGAAACCGUGUACGUACAAGCAGUGGGAGCACGCUUAGGCGUGUGACUGCGUACCUUUUGUAUAAUGGGUCAGCGACUUAUAUUCUGUAGCAAGGUUAACCGAAUAGGGGAGCCGAAGGGAAACCGAGUCUUAACUGGGCGUUAAGUUGCAGGGUAUAGACCCGAAACCCGGUGAUCUAGCCAUGGGCAGGUUGAAGGUUGGGUAACACUAACUGGAGGACCGAACCGACUAAUGUUGAAAAAUUAGCGGAUGACUUGUGGCUGGGGGUGAAAGGCCAAUCAAACCGGGAGAUAGCUGGUUCUCCCCGAAAGCUAUUUAGGUAGCGCCUCGUGAAUUCAUCUCCGGGGGUAGAGCACUGUUUCGGCAAGGGGGUCAUCCCGACUUACCAACCCGAUGCAAACUGCGAAUACCGGAGAAUGUUAUUACGGGAGACACACGGCGGGUGCUAACGUCCGUCGUGAAGAGGGAAACAACCCAGACCGCCAGCUAAGGUCCCAAAGUCAUGGUUAAGUGGGAAACGAUGUGGGAAGGCCCAGACAGCCAGGAUGUUGGCUUAGAAGCAGCCAUCAUUUAAAGAAAGCGUAAUAGCUCACUGGUCGAGUCGGCCUGCGCGGAAGAUGUAACGGGGCUAAACCAUGCACCGAAGCUGCGGCAGCGACGCUUAUGCGUUGUUGGGUAGGGGAGCGUUCUGUAAGCCUGUGAAGGUGUGCUGUGAGGUAUGCUGGAGGUAUCAGAAGUGCGAAUGCUGACAUAAGUAACGAUAAAGCGGGUGAAAAGCCCGCUCGCCGGAAGACCAAGGGUUCCUGUCCAACGUUAAUCGGGGCAGGGUGAGUCGACCCUAAGGCGAGGCCGAAAGGCGUAGUCGAUGGGAAACAGGUUAAUAUUCCUGUACUUGGUGUUACUGCGAAGGGGGACGGAGAAGGCUAUGUUGGCCGGGCGACGGUUGUCCCGGUUUAAGCGUGUAGGCUGGUUUUCCAGGCAAAUCCGGAAAAUCAAGGCCGAGGCGUGAUGACGAGGCACUACGGUGCUGAAGCAACAAAUGCCCUGCUUCCAGGAAAAGCCUCUAAGCAUCAGGUAACAUCAAAUCGUACCCCAAACCGACACAGGUGGUCAGGUAGAGAAUACCAAGGCGCUUGAGAGAACUCGGGUGAAGGAACUAGGCAAAAUGGUGCCGUAACUUCGGGAGAAGGCACGCUGAUACGUAGGUGAAGCGACUUGCUCGUGGAGCUGAAAUCAGUCGAAGAUACCAGCUGGCUGCAACUGUUUAUUAAAAACACAGCACUGUGCAAACACGAAAGUGGACGUAUACGGUGUGACGCCUGCCCGGUGCCGGAAGGUUAAUUGAUGGGGUUAGCGCAAGCGAAGCUCUUGAUCGAAGCCCCGGUAAACGGCGGCCGUAACUAUAACGGUCCUAAGGUAGCGAAAUUCCUUGUCGGGUAAGUUCCGACCUGCACGAAUGGCGUAAUGAUGGCCAGGCUGUCUCCACCCGAGACUCAGUGAAAUUGAACUCGCUGUGAAGAUGCAGUGUACCCGCGGCAAGACGGAAAGACCCGUGAACCUUUACUAUAGCUUGACACUGAACAUUGAGCCUUGAUGUGUAGGAUAGGUGGGAGGCUUUGAAGUGUGGACGCCAGUCUGCAUGGAGCCGACCUUGAAAUACCACCCUUUAAUGUUUGAUGUUCUAACGUGGACCCGUGAUCCGGGUUGCGGACAGUGUCUGGUGGGUAGUUUGACUGGGGCGGUCUCCUCCUAAAGAGUAACGGAGGAGCACGAAGGUUGGCUAAUCCUGGUCGGACAUCAGGAGGUUAGUGCAAUGGCAUAAGCCAGCUUGACUGCGAGCGUGACGGCGCGAGCAGGUGCGAAAGCAGGUCAUAGUGAUCCGGUGGUUCUGAAUGGAAGGGCCAUCGCUCAACGGAUAAAAGGUACUCCGGGGAUAACAGGCUGAUACCGCCCAAGAGUUCAUAUCGACGGCGGUGUUUGGCACCUCGAUGUCGGCUCAUCACAUCCUGGGGCUGAAGUAGGUCCCAAGGGUAUGGCUGUUCGCCAUUUAAAGUGGUACGCGAGCUGGGUUUAGAACGUCGUGAGACAGUUCGGUCCCUAUCUGCCGUGGGCGCUGGAGAACUGAGGGGGGCUGCUCCUAGUACGAGAGGACCGGAGUGGACGCAUCACUGGUGUUCGGGUUGUCAUGCCAAUGGCACUGCCCGGUAGCUAAAUGCGGAAGAGAUAAGUGCUGAAAGCAUCUAAGCACGAAACUUGCCCCGAGAUGAGUUCUCCCUGACCCUUUAAGGGUCCUGAAGGAACGUUGAAGACGACGACGUUGAUAGGCCGGGUGUGUAAGCGCAGCGAUGCGUUGAGCUAACCGGUACUAAUGAACCGUGAGGCUUAACCUUACAACGCCGAAG
This 2922-nucleotide ribosomal RNA is filed under the name Shigella flexneri. RNAcentral describes it as "23S ribosomal RNA". It matches the Rfam family "Bacterial large subunit ribosomal RNA". The record is from RNAcentral. Lineage: Bacteria; Pseudomonadati; Pseudomonadota; Gammaproteobacteria; Enterobacterales; Enterobacteriaceae.